AACUUCUCCAUCGAUGGUUUGACAUUGUCAAUGUCAAGUCAGUUUAUAUGCACAUCAGGAAAAAUGACCCAACCCAUAUGCCUAUCACAAAGGAUGACAAGCUGCAGGUCCAACCAACCUGGGACCACAAAUCACCACAUGAGUGUCACUCCAGUGACCCUCAUAGGCAAACAGUCACCACUCUCCACCUAAUUACAAGUUUUGUAAAUUGUAGACGAAUAAAAUGAGUUACAGAGGUA
This is a long non-coding RNA of Portunus trituberculatus (swimming crab), 239 nucleotides long. RefSeq lists it as uncharacterized. The record is from RefSeq and is a predicted model, not a curated record. The transcript is spliced from 2 exons. NCBI's taxonomy places the organism in Eukaryota, Metazoa, Arthropoda, Malacostraca, Decapoda, Portunidae.